Non-coding RNA from Pelodiscus sinensis (Chinese soft-shelled turtle), 1774 nucleotides. NCBI's taxonomy places the organism in Eukaryota, Metazoa, Chordata, Testudines, Trionychidae. The record is from RefSeq and is a predicted model, not a curated record.
AAUGUUAAUGUUGUUUUUCACUUUCCCACUAGUAUGCACAACCUACAGCCUGCUGUUGCUCAGGACAAAUACAACUCAGUUGAUUUAGAUUCACAACUGCAGGAACAGGAACGCAUCAUUACCAUAUCAUAUGCUUUGGCUUCUGAAGCUUCUCAGCGGAGCAAGGAGGUAGCAGCUCACCAGUUGACCUACCCAUCUAAAGCACCCUCACCUUCUGUACCACAGCCACCUAACUCCCCCUUAAGCAAUGGAUUUCACUACACAUUUGUCUAAACACCUUAAAACCAAAGCAGUAACUGAGCAUUGACAUAAGAAUCAAACCAACAACUGUGUGACACCAGAACAUGGAAGAAAGCAUGUCUUCAUUGCACCAGCUACACAGAAGAUACUCAUCAGCUGAUCACAAUUUUUUCAAAAUUCAGACAAUAAUAGAGGGAUUUUCUAUGAAAAACAAAUUAUAAAUCAUUUUAAUUUGGUAUUGUUUUAGUUCACACUUUUUAUAUGAAUACAUGGCACUUUUAAUAUACUCUGUAAAUUACUGAAGUAUUUUUAGAAACAAUAUAUUAGAUUUUUUUAAGCAAGGGCUGAGUUCAUUUUAAAAAGCUGCUUUCACAGACUUUACAAAAUAUUGCUUCACCCUCAAGUUCAAAUGCAUUGUAUAGCCUCUUGACAAAAUGUGAAUUAAAUAAUCUUAGAAGCUCAUCGUGGCAUUUGGAUAAAUCUAAAUCAAGUGAGAAACUUACUGAGAUUUUUUAAAAAUUGAUCACUCUUGUAUGCCCUUUAAAUAAGAAAUAGCAAAGGACUCUUAGCUUGUAAUUCUUAAUAUUAGUAACCAUCAUGUUUGCACAUAAAGAAUGAAAUUAUGGCACUCAGCUACUAACUUCUGUACAUUUUUAAAUUCCAUGUAAUUAUUUUUCAAAUACAGUAUCCAGUGUGUUAGCAUUGACAAUAGCACUGUCCCCAUCAGUAACAAGAAGCUAAAAAAAUUGUUAAAUUAAAAUGACUGGGAAGUAAAAGAAAUUGUAAUUAAAAUAUGUGAUGUAAGCAAUAAAAUAUUAAGAGAAUGUGUGAUUUUAUUAGGAUAUAUAGAGUUUUUUCUCUGUAAUUGUUUUAAUUAAAAGCAAUAUGUGAUCUAUUGCAUUAUCCUGGAAACAACAGAAAUAAUGUAAAGUGGCACUUGCUAAUUUUGUAUGUAAAUUUAACUGGUGCUUAAUUUUGCCAAAACUUCCCAAGUCUGAUGUUUUGCUUGGGUAUAGGAUAAAGAGUUGGCCAGUUACAUAUGAAGAAAAUGAAUUUAAAUUGAUGUUGCUUCUGUAUUUGAAAAAAUUAUAUGUACUCUUUCAGUGUGAGGCAUGAAAAAACGCACAAUCUUAGUUGAAUCCAGUGCUAAGAGAGGAAUGAUUAACAAAUACUUUGCAGUGUUUUGCGAGUUUUAACUUCCGCUUCUUUACUGUAUUCAAAUAAUGGUUUAAAAAGCAAAUGAAUUGAGCUUAAUAUUUGUUUAAAAUUCUUAAAAUAAAAAUUCAUAUUGUAUUUUUCUGAAACUCAAAAGCUAUUCUUAAGAUAUAUAUUUAGAAAAUGCAAUCUAUUUUUAACUAACUCAAUACUGCCAGUGUCAAGUUGUAACAUUUGCCAAAAUAAAUUUGUUUUAUUUUUGCCUUUAUAAAAAUGUUUGAAAAGAAAUUAAAUGAAUAUUUUGCAAGAAAAUGUUAAUUUAAAUAAAAUGUAAUAGUUUGGGGGGAAAUGGUAUAUGUACAGAUUAAAAUAUUAACAU